GAUUGAACGCUGGCGGAAUGCUUUACACAUGCAAGUCGAGCGGCAGCGCGGGGCAACCCUGGCGGCGAGCGGCGAACGGGUGAGUAAUACAUCGGAACGUGUCCUUAAGUGGGGGAUAGCUCGGCGAAAGCCGGAUUAAUACCGCAUAAGCUCUGAGGACGGAAAGCGGGGGCUCCGUAAGGACCUCGCGCUGUUGGAGCGGCCGAUGUCGGAUUAGCUAGUUGGUGGGAAAGCCCACCAGGCGACGAUCCGUAGCUGGUCUGAGAGGACGGCCAGCCACACUGGCACUGACACACGGGCCAGACUCCUACGGGAGGCAG
Molecule: ribosomal RNA, 320 nt
Filed under: uncultured bacterium
Lineage: Bacteria
Description: bacterial SSU rRNA
Rfam family: Bacterial small subunit ribosomal RNA
Source: RNAcentral